GACGAACGCUGGCGGCGUUCUUAACACAUGCAAUUCGAACGCUGAAGCUUGGUUCUUGCACUGGGUGGAUGAGUGGCGAACGGGUGAGUAAUACGUGAGUAACCUGCCCUUUACUCUUGGAUAAGCCUGGGAAACUGGGUCUAAUACUGGAUACGACAUGUCACCGCAUGGUGGCGUGUGGAAAGGGUUUUACUGGUUUUGGAUGGGCUCACGGCCUAUCAGCUUGUUGGUGGGGUAAUGGCUCACCAAGGCGACGACGGGUAGCCGGCCUGAGAGGGUGACCGGCCAAACUGGGACUGAGACACGGCCCAGACUCCUACGGGAGGCAGCAGUGGGGAAUAUUGAACAAUGGGCGAAAGCCUGAUGCAGCGACGAAGCGUGAGGGAUGACGGCCUUCGGGUUGUAAACCUCUUUCAGAACGGAAGAAGCGAAAGUGACGGUACGUGCAGAAGAAGCGCCGGCUAACUACGUG
Molecule: ribosomal RNA, 472 nt
Filed under: uncultured bacterium
Lineage: Bacteria
Description: partial 16S ribosomal RNA
Rfam family: Bacterial small subunit ribosomal RNA
Source: RNAcentral